GAGUAUAAUUAAUCAUGGAUAUAUAAUUUAAAAAUGAUUAAAUAUAGACAUGUUUUAAUUAGGAAAU
RNAcentral lists this microRNA precursor (67 nucleotides) under Oryza sativa Japonica Group (Japanese rice). RNAcentral's name for it is "mir-6 microRNA precursor". Lineage: Eukaryota; Viridiplantae; Streptophyta; Magnoliopsida; Poales; Poaceae. The record is from RNAcentral.